GCAUUGGUGGUUCAGGGGUAGAAUUCUCUCCUUCCAUGCAGGAGACCUGGGUUCGAUUCCUGGCCAAUGCA
RNAcentral lists this transfer RNA (71 nucleotides) under Loxodonta africana (African savanna elephant). It matches the Rfam family "tRNA". Rfam says of the family: Transfer RNA (tRNA) molecules are approximately 80 nucleotides in length. Their secondary structure includes four short double-helical elements and three loops (D, anti-codon, and T loops). Lineage: Eukaryota; Metazoa; Chordata; Mammalia; Proboscidea; Elephantidae. The record is from Rfam by way of RNAcentral.